RNAcentral lists this ribosomal RNA (359 nucleotides) under Symbiodinium sp. CCMP2430. RNAcentral describes it as "partial Bacterial small subunit ribosomal RNA". It matches the Rfam family "Bacterial small subunit ribosomal RNA", at positions 11 to 368 of the family's 1533-position model. Lineage: Eukaryota; Dinophyceae; Suessiales; Symbiodiniaceae. The record is from RNAcentral.
GUUUGAUCAUGGCUCAGAUUGAACGCUGGCGGCAGGCUUAACACAUGCAAGUCGAGCGGUAACAGGGGGUGCUUGCACCCCGCUGACGAGCGGCGGACGGGUGAGUAAUGCAUAGGAAACUGCCCAGUAGUGGGGGAUAGCCCGGGGAAACCCGGAUUAAUACCGCGUACGCCCUUCGGGGGAAAGCAGGGGAUCUUCGGACCUUGCGCUAUUGGAUGUGCCUAUGUCGGAUUAGCUAGUUGGUGGGGUAAAGGCCUACCAAGGCGACGAUCCGUAGCUGGUCUGAGAGGAUGAUCAGCCACAUCGGGACUGAGACACGGCCCGAACUCCUACGGGAGGCAGCAGUGGGGAAUAUUGGA